This 253-nucleotide ribosomal RNA is filed under the name uncultured bacterium. RNAcentral's name for it is "partial 16S ribosomal RNA". It matches the Rfam family "Bacterial small subunit ribosomal RNA", at positions 524 to 776 of the family's 1533-position model. The record is from RNAcentral.
UACGGAGGGGGCAAGCGUUGUUCGGAAUCAUUGGGCGUAAAGAGUAUGUAGGCGGCUAUUUAAGUCAGACGUGUAAGCCCACGGCUCAACCGUGGAAUUGCGUUUGAAACUAUUUAGCUUGAGUGCAGGAGAGGAAGGCGGAAUUCCCAGUGUAGCGGUGAAAUGCAUUGAUAUUGGGAAGAACACCGGUGGCGAAGGCGGCCUUCUGGUCUGACACUGACGCUGAGAUACGAAAGCCAGGGGAGCGAACGGG